AAUCAGUUCACUGGAGGCAUUCCACAAGCCAUAGGGAGUUUAUCCAACCUUGAAGGAUUAUAUCUUCCUUAUAACAAAUUGACAGGUGGAAUUCCUAAAGAGAUUGGGAAUCUUUCAAAUUUAAAUCUUUUGCACUUAGCGUCUAAUGGAAUUAGUGGCCCUAUUCCUGUCGAAAUUUUCAAUAUCUCUUCAUUGCAAGGGAUUGAUUUCAGUAAUAAUAGCCUUUCUGGGAGUCUUCCAAGGGAUAUUUGUAAACAUCUUCCUAAUCUCCAAUGGCUAUAUCUUGCUCGGAAUCAUCUCAGUGGUCAACUUCCUACAACUUUAUCCUUAUGUGGAGAGCUCUUGCUCCUGUCACUAUCAUUCAAUAAAUUCAGAGGAAGCAUACCAAGAGAAAUUGGCAACUUAUCAAAGCUUGAAGAGAUCUAUCUAUAUCACAAUAGCCUCGUAGGUUCCAUUCCAACUUCAUUUGGUAAUUUGAAGGCCUUAAAACAUCUUCAGUUGGGAACAAACAAUCUUACGGGGACGAUACCAGAAGCUCUUUUUAACAUCUCUAAACUACAUAACCUUGCGUUGGUGCAAAAUCACCUUUCAGGCAGUCUCCCACCAAGUAUUGGCAAUGAAUUCAGUGGAAUAAUUCCAAUGUCUAUUUCAAAUAUGUCGAAACUUAUCCAACUACAGGUAUGGGACAACUCCUUCACUGGUAAUGUGCCAAAAGAUCUCGGUAACCUGACAAAGCUUGAAGUUCUCAACCUUGCAAACAAUCAAUUGACUGAUGAACACUUAGCCUCUGGGGUUAGUUUUCUUACUUCUUUGACAAAUUGCAAAUUUUUGAGAACAUUGUGGAUAGGUUAUAAUCCUUUGAAAGGUACUCUUCCAAAUUCACUAGGGAAUCUUCCCAUUGCUCUUGAAAGUUUUAAUGCAUAUGCCUGCCAAUUCAGAGGAACCAUUCCCACAGGAAUUGGUAAUUUGACCAAUUUGAUAAUGCUGCACUUGGGAGCUAAUGACUUGACAGGGUCAAUUCCAACUACAUUGGGACAGCUACAAAAGCUUCAGGCGUUGUCCAUUGCUGGAAAUAGAAUACGAGGAUCCAUUCCAAAUGAUCUGUGCCAUUUGAAGAACUUGGGAUACUUGGGUUUGAGUUCUAACAAAUUGUCUGGAUCAACCCCAAGUUGUUUUGGAGAUCUUCUUGCGCUACGAGAACUCUUUCUUGACUCCAACGCGUUAGCUUUCAACAUUCCUACAUCCUUGUGGAGCCUUAGAGAUCUGUUGGUUCUUAACUUGUCUUCAAAUUUCUUGACUGGUAAUCUACCUCCCGAAGUUGGAAACAUGAAGUACAUUAUAACAUUGGACCUGUCAAAGAACCUAGUUUCAGGUUACAUUCCAAGCAGGAUGGGAAAACUACAAAAUUUGAUUACACUCUCCUUGUCCCAAAACAAACUACAAGGCCCAAUACCUGUAGAAUGUGGUGAUUUGGUAAGCUUGGAAUCAUUGGAUCUAUCCCAAAACAAUUUAUCUAGAAUCAUUCCCAAGUCAUUAGAGGCCCUUAUUUAUCUCAAGUAUCUAAAUGUUUCUUUCAAUAAACUACAAGGAGAAAUUCCGAAUGGAGGACCUUUCGUAAAUUUCAAUGCUGAAUCGUUCAUGUUCAAUGAAGCCUUAUGUGGAGCACCUCAUUUUCAAGUCAUGGCAUGUGAUAAAAACAACCGCACUCAAUCAUGGAAGACAAAGUCAUUCAUCUUGAAAUAUAUUCUAUUACCAGUCGGAUCAACAGUAACUUUAGUGGUUUUCAUUGUUCUGUGGAUACGUAGACGAGAUAACAUGGAAAUACCAACUCCAAUUGCCUCAUGGCUCCCUGGAACACAUGAAAAGAUUUCACACCAGCAGCUUCUUUAUGCAACAAAUGACUUUGGUGAAGACAAUUUGAUUGGGAAAGGAAGCCAGGGCAUGGUAUAUAAAGGGGUAUUAUCUAAUGGCUUAAUUGUUGCUAUAAAGGUUUUCAAUUUAGAAUUCCAAAGAGCCUUGAGGAGUUUCGAUUCAGAAUGUGAAGUGAUGCAAGGGAUUCGCCACCGAAAUCUUGUUAGGAUAAUUACCUGUUGCUCAAACCUCGAUUUCAAAGCAUUGGUACUCGAAUAUAUGCCUAAUGGAAGUCUUGAGAAGUGGUUGUAUUCCCACAACUAUUUUUUGGAUCUCAUCCAAAGAUUAAACAUUAUGAUAUAUGUAGCAUCAGCAUUAGAGUACCUUCAUCAUGAUUGUUCGAGCCUUGUGGUGCAUUGCGACUUGAAGCCCAGUAAUGUUUUGUUAGAUGACAAUAUGGUUGCACAUGUGGCGGAUUUUGGGAUUGCAAAACUCUUGACUGAAACAGAGUCUAUGCAGCAAACAAAGACCUUAGGCACAAUAGGCUAUAUGGCACCAGGUAAAGUUCCUUGCUACUUAUAUUCCUAUUUACUACAAUUUUUUUUUUAAUAUCUACCUUAUUUUAUUUUUAUUUCUUCGAAUUUAUGACCAAAACUAACAUCACACACAAGCAGAGCAUGGCUCAGCUGGGAUAGUAUCCACAAAGAGCGAUGUUUAUAGCUAUGAGAUCUUGUUGAUGGAAGUAUUUGCAAGGAAGAAGCCUAUGGAUGAAAUGUUCACUGGGGAUCUAACCUUGAAGACUUGGGUAGAGUCAUUAUCCAAUUCAGUGAUACAGGUUGUUGAUGUCAAUCUAUUGAGAAGAGAAGAUGAAGACCUUGGCACAAAGCUAAGUUGUUUGUCCUCCAUUAUGGCUUUAGCUCUGGCAUGUACAACCGAUUCACCUAAGGAGCGGAUCGACAUGAAAGAUGUGGUAGUUGAACUCAAGAAGAGCAGAAUCAAACUGUUGAUGUAAGGAUUAUUUCAAAAGAUGGGAUGGAACUUAAUAACAUCAAAUUGUUACACAACAGUUGAUGUCAAUAGUUCAAAGGAAGCCAAAAGUCGGAAUUUGGAGCCGAUUAAGAGUGCACAAAGCAAUAUCCCAAGCACUGUUAAGUAUAUGUCAUGGGUCUAGAUGUUUAAUUUCUUUGGUAUUUUCCACAUGACAACCAAAUGUGAAAAAAUCAUUUUUCUGAGCAUUUUUUUUCUUUCUUUAAUGCUUUUUGAGAACCAAACAUAAGCUAAGGGAUUCGUGGUGAUAGAUUAUAUUAAAAUAAUUUUCAGAUGAUUGAAUGACCAUGAAAAUCAUGGUAUUAGUCUUGAGUAAUAUCUUCAAUAGAAACAUAGUUUCCAAAUACAUGUAGUUUUAAUGAGCUAUGUGUGUUAAAGCUUGUUGUGUGCUCUAGUAAUUUAGCAUAUCGAUUUUCUCUUCUUGCCUUGAUAGUCCAUCUAACCCAUGGCUCUAAGGGCAUUUUGGGUAAACUUGAGAGAACUACCUCAAUUCUUAUCCUAUCAUUGAUAUGAUUUAUGAUUUAUAUAAGACUUGAAAAACUUGAAACUUUUAUCAAACAUGUGAUGAUUAACCUAAAAUAUAACAAUGAGAGGAACCAUUAAAAUAUUAUUUUAAUAAUUUUAUUAAAAAUGCGGUGGAAAACCAAAAUUUGAAGAACCUAAUUAUUUUAGAUAGACUUGGAAAAUAACUAUUUAUAGAAGAAAUAUACAAUUUUAGUUGACAUACAUUUAAUUUGUACAUGGAAUUAGUUUUCCCUAAAUAUAAAAGGAAAACAUAAUUGUAUGUUAACUUGAGUAAAUUCUUCACAAUUUCAUUAAAUUUUUAGGAACAAUUGAGACAUUGAAAAAAAGAAAAGAAAGAAUUAACUAAAAUCUAAUCAUUUAAACAAAUUCAUAUUUAAAAUGGACCUCUAAGUUGUUAAUGAAUCAGCAACUUAAAAACAUAAUACCUAAAUAAAAAUAUGAAUAGUAAUUACAAUUAUGUAUAGACCCAAACUAAACUUGAAUAUAAAAUUGUAUGUCAUGAAGAUGAAUUUGGAGCAAGAAAAUUGGAUUAUGGAAAAUGAUUCUUUUUCAUUACUCAAAUUUUAGAUAAGCAACAAAUCAAAUCCUUGAAAAUAUGACAGCAAUCAUAUUUUUAAUCUUUCCACAAUUUCAAAAAUUGAUGGAAAAAGAAAGGAAAAUAAGAUACAAUCUGGAAAUUUUUUCUUUUGUGAAAUUCCACAUUUUAUUAUAUCAAUAGUUGGAUUUUAUGUAUAUAUCCUGAAUCUCUCCAUUCUCAUACCCUGAAUCAUAUAGGUAUAUGCAAAACUACCCUAGGCCUCUAGAUCUUAUGCAACAGAAGCAAAAAAAAAAAAAACAUAUUUUUACAAUUCUAGGAUCAAGAGGAAAAUCAUUAGAAAACUUUACCUUUUAUUUGGAUGUUCCCGAAUCAAUUCUACUCAGAGAAUAUGAAGAACAAUGAAUUUGAAAGUCUUGUACACUUAAGAUCUUCCACCCGAUGACUUGAAUCCCGAUCUUGACACUCCAAAGUGUGGAAAAUGAUGAUCUCUUGGCUCUCACUAUCUCUCUCUUUCUUUGGAGCUGGAAGACAAAGUCUCUCUAAAGGUUGUGGAAACCCUAGCCUCUAUCAGUAUUUAUAGGGUUCCCUUACUAGGCUUAAGUGACUUAAGCCCACUAAGGCUUGGGUCACUUAAUCUUACCCAAAAUGGAUCCUAAUUGAUUAAUUAACCACAUAGGGUUGUCUAAUUAAUCAAUUAGCCUGAUUCAAAGAACUUGUUUACUAUCAUUUGUGCAACCUUGCAUAAUUACCAAAACGCCCUUUUGCAUAAGAAUGAACCAAGAGUCAAUUCAUCCCUCAUAAACCAUGUCAUCAUGGUACAUGAGCUCAGAGCGGAGACUAUUAGGAUCCAUAGGAGUACUGCCUCCCUCAUAAUUCAAUUCUAAAGUUAAUUCAACAUUCCACUAAAGAGAAUCAACUGCACUUUAGUAUCCUAUGUAAAUAACAACGAGAUGAAAAUUGGGGUUCGUGACAUACUAUCCACUACAUGAAGACUCCCUAUGAACUAGUGUUUGUAAUCUAAUAAGGUAGUGUUUUCAUCUAUUAAGGUUACCUCUCCAACCCUUGAUUUAUGGAUCCCGCUUUUUAUGUGAUCAAUUGACAUACUCUAGCUCUAAGGAGCAUAUGCCAAAUUACCCUUAAAGGAAAUGUUAUGACCAUAGUCUUCUAGAUCACAUAUCCUGUGGAUCACCCAAAGGGACACACUAUCUCAAUUCAUGAGAUAUCAUGGUGUCUCUAUUGAGAAUACCUAUGUCACCAACCUCCAUCAACAAUGAUCUAAUCCAUAGGAAUAUAUGACCACUUUAGGGUCUCACCCAUAGGUUAAAGCCUCAUGUUAACUUUGACACAAGCUGAAUAUCCUUCCAAGGUUGAGAGUUCAUGCAGUAUAGUAGCUUGGUGAAUCAUAACGAUUGAUAGCCUUAUGUCAUGAUUCAUCGUAGGUCUUGUCCAAUGCACAUCACAGGCUACACUCACCAUGGGAAAACCAUUCCGACAACUAAAACAAGUCACCCCUCUAACUAAGAGGUAGUGCACUAUAGUCUCAAAUGGAUAGCCCAAAUCUAUGAACCAAUUGUGGACAACUUAUCACUCUACAAGGAACCCAUGACUUGGGUCUUUUGUGCAACUCUUAACACACCCAAGUCAUGUAUAAUGUAAGUGACGUGGAUUGUGUAUACUCAAAUAACCAAUUAAUAUAAAUGAGACAUUUAAGGGAAACCAAAAAACAUAAAUAAAUAAAUUUAUAAAUGAAUCUCAAUAUGUUACAUCAUGUCAUGUUUUCCAAGGCUCAUACCAACAAUCGCUAGUUGAAGUCAUUAGUUGCUUUAAUCUACAAGUGAAACCCUAAAAUGGUUAUAUAUUCCUUAUGGAUUGAGUUGCUAUUGAUUAAGACAAGUGACAGAGGGUAUUUUUAAGAUAUGCACCAUGAUAUCUCAAACAUUUGAAAUAGUGUGUCCUCUUGGGUGAUUUUAAGAAUUUGUGAUCAUGAAAUCUAUAAUUGUAAUAAUUCCUUAAGUGGAAUUUGAUAUAUGCUCUUAUAAGUAAUAAUGUCUCAAUUGAUUACAUAACAAGAGGAUUUGAGACUCAAGGAUAGUAGAGUGAUCUUAAUAGGAUGAUGACUAUACCUCAUUAGAUUAAAUAUACUAGUUCAUGAAGGGUUUACAUACAAAGAUAACAAGUCACAAACUCGAAAAAUUGAUGAAAUUCAAUUUAAUCAAUUUUUUUCUCUAUUUAAUAUCAUAGGCUACUACUAGAGUAUUCUAGUCAACCCUCUAAAGUGGAAUGUUGAGUCAACUUCAAAAUUGGAUUUUAAGGGAGCUAGUAUUGUCCUAGGGUCCUAGUGGUCCCCAUUUGAGCUCAUACUCCUUGGUGGAAUGUUAUUUUUAGUGAUUUAUGGGUUUUUAUUCAUACAUGUUUGGUAAAUAUGCAAGGUUGCAUAAGAGUUUAUGAAUGGUUUUUUUGGAUUGGGCUACUUAAAAUUAAUUGGAGCCCAAUAAGGCUAACUAAUUAAUUAAGACCAAGAAGGUCUAGAUCAAGUGAUCCAAGCCUAAGAUGGGCUUAACUCACUUAAGCUCACAAAAAAAGUCUAUAUAAACCCUUUAGGGGUUUAGGGUUGGACACUCUUAGCCAUUGUUUUCUAAAGAGAAAGCCCCAACUUUCAUCAUUGUUAAGAGAUAACUCCAUCAUUCAACUUGAAUAAUUCAAUGGGUUUGUAUGCUUUUAUCUCAUCUUUUACCCUUAGCAUAAUGUUAGGAGAAGGUACCUAGGAAGUAACUUUUGGAAGAACAUUUCAUGUUAGUCUUUUCAGGAUUCAUCAAAGAUGGGACUGAUAUGCAUUUCAAAAAUGGAUACACUGAUAUGCAUUUAAGUCGAUAAUAGUUGCUCCUAUAUGAGAAAUAGAUAAGUUUUUACCAUUACUUAUUAUUAAUUUGCCUUUGCCUUUUUAGUCGUUCUUGAGAGACAAGUUGUUGAGAUUUGAAGUAACUUGAUUGGUUGGACUACUACCCAUGUACCAAGAAGGAUUAUUCACGAUUUCUAAACUAAUGAAGUAUGCUUGAGAAUUUUAAUUUUGGUUAUUGGCCUAAUGAGUUGUGGAAUUGUUGUUCUAACUAAUGUUUGUUACAAAAAUGCUAAGAUCAAAUUUUUGAUAACAUUUAAUUACUUUGUGACCUGGGUAUCUUGGUGAUAACAUUGUUGAUCUUGAUAUUCAUGUUUUCAUUCAUUUUAGUUGUAAUUGCUUUGGAAAUUACCUUUGUUUUUAUUGUUGUUACAAGUGUAGUCUUCUUUUGCUGCAUAAUUUACAGAUAUUGUCAUAUCAAUGGAAAUAACAGUAUUCAACUAUUCUAAACACAAUUCUUAGCUUUAAAGGAGGAAUUGCAUUUCUUGUAAGGAGGUGUUGUCGCUUCUUGAGGUGAUGUUCACUAUUACAAAAUUGUAUUCUAAUCUAAGACUUCCAAGAAUAUAAAGAGUCAAAUCAUCAUUUGAAAUAAUUUUUCCAAAAGCUAAGAGAGUAUCAACUAUGUUUCACAUCUUAAGAAUAUAAUCAUUGAUCUUGAGGAAACCUUUUCUUGUAAGGUUGCAACAUAUAAUGGAGUUGGAUGGUUCGUACUUUGAAUUCUGAGAUGAAAAGUCUUUCCAAGGUAGACUAAAUAUUAGUAGAGUUGAUGGAGCUAGUAACAUGUCCAAACAUUGAUUUAGAGAUGGAUGAUAGUAACUAACUCAUGAAAAUUUGAUAAACACAAUAGGGUUUUCACAUUCAAAGUUUGGAAUUACCUAAAUUGAAUCUCAAAUCUUAACUUUGGUGGAUUGUAGUGGACAAAUUUUGGUUCUAGUGAGAAAGCCAUCAAGUUUGUGGGCUCUUACUACAGGAAGAAUUUGAGAUCUUUAAAAGCUAUAGUUCUUCCAAUCAAGCUUGAUUGAAAUAGGAUUCAGGUUAGAGGGGAAAGGAAUUACAAUUGAUACCAUUGUAAUAUCGUACUAGUUGCAAUGGUUGAUUGAGGAUUUGCAAGGGGAGAAGUUUCAAUGGAUGAGAUCAAAGUAGAGGUAGGAUUGGGUUGGUCAAUUGCCAUUUAUAUUAGUGAAGAAAGCAUUGAUACCAAGUUAUAAUACAAAAAUAGAGUACAAAAUUUAAAGGAAAUAACUAUGAAAGGCUCUCAUAUUGUAAAUGAUAAUUAUGAACUGUAUUUCAUAUAUAAUACUAAUUUACAUAGAUAAUAAUCUUUAAUAACAAGCUUAAUAGUAUGAUAAACUCAGUAUUUAAUUGCAAACUACACUAAAGACAUACGCAUAGUUGGAUUUGACUUAUUUCAAAAUCAUGGCAUGCAAGAAUUAAAAGUUAGGGAAUGCAUAAUCAAAUACGUCUUUCUUCUUUCAAAUAUGUUUUAUGUUUCAAAGUAAUUUAAUAUAAAUUGAUAACAAUCAUUUGUUGAAAAAAUAGAGUAAAAUGGGUGUUUUCUUUACUCAACCAAAGAUAUGAUAUGAUCAAUGCUUAUAAUUGAAUUCAAGCAAUUUUGAAAAAUGCCCUUUAAUUUUAAAUUUUAUUUUUUUAUAUGUGAGAAUUAAAAUCUCAAAUUGGUUUAAAAAAAAAAAAAAAAACCCAGUGCAAAGUUAUAAAAAAAAAAUGAAUGAAGAUUAGCUUUUGGGAUAAUAUUUAUAGUUGAUUUGUCAAGGAAGCAACUUUUCUAGAAAAUAAAUCACGAUGGCAAUGCUAACUAUGGUUUUAUUUUUAUAAACAAAAGGUUCUCAUAUCAUCAAAUUAACAUAUAUAGUAGUUAACAGGUUUGAACUCAAAUUGAAUUUUUUAAUCAAAUAGUUGAGGCAACUUAGAUUUCUUAUUAAUACUUCAAAUUAGGAAUUUAAAAUGCGAGGAAUAAUUUUUUCAUAAAAUAUUUGAAAUAUGGAAUCAAUUAAUAUAAUUUGAUUAAGAAAAAAAAUCAACUAUUCAAACAUAUUUGAAAUGAAACUCCAAACUAUUAAAAUGAAAUAAAAUAUUUAAUAGAUAUGAAAUCAUUUCAUAUAUAUAUAUAUAUAUAUAUAUAUAUAUAUAUUAUAUAAUUUAAUUUAAUAUAAUAUAGUUAAAGCUAUAAUAUAAUAUUUAUUUGUGACAAACAAUAGUAGAUAUUUUUGUUGUUAAUACUCCCAAUAAAAAUUAAAAUUAAAACAUCAAUUAGCUAAUUAUAUUCUAUACUCAACAUUUGUGUUAAGUGCAUAGUUAGUUUCACAAAUUAUUUGAUAAUAUAUUAUAGAGUAAGAGACAUUAUUGUACACAAUUCAAACCAUCAUAUAGGCUACCUAAAUGUUUGGUAACCAUCAAUAUGUGAUUCAUGAUAUGUUUUCCUCCAAAUUAGUGCUAUUCAUGACAAGUUUUGCUCAAUUUAGUGCAUCUUUUAAAUAUUAUCGUUAUGUUUGAUUUCAAGAAAGUAUUAAGAAAAAAAUAUUAAAGAAAAUAAUUUUUUAUAUCUGUUUUUGCUAUGAAAAAUAUAAAAAAUAUAUAUAAUUAAAAUCAAUUAAAACUUAUCUAUUUUUAAAUUAUUUAAUCUUUAUAUAGAAGAGUUAAAACAAGUGAAAUAACAUAUAAAUAAUUUAUUGAUUUUAAAUAUACUUUCUAGUUUUCUUUACUUUUUUUUUUUUUACAUUUUUCUUCUCUAUUUUAUUUUCCUCGUAUUUUCUUGGAAUCAACAUCUCUUCAUUGAGGUUUUUGAAUCUGGCAGUGAAUAACCUAGAAGGUGAAAUCCCCUCCAAUUUGUCGCAUUGCAGAGAGCUUCGAGUGUUAUCAUUAUCAAUCAAUCAGUUCACUGGAGGCAUUCCACAAGCCAUUGGGAGUCUAUCCAACCUUGAAGAAUUAUAUCUUGGUUAUAACAAAUUGACAGGUGGACUUCCUAGGAGAGAUUGGGAAUCUUUCAAAUUUAAAUAUUUUGCAGUUAGGAUCUAAUGGAAUAAGUGGCCCUAUUCCUGCCGAGAUUUCCAAUAUCUCUUCAUUGCAAGGGAUUGAUUUCACUAAUAAUAGCCUUUCUGGGAGUCUUCCAAUGGGUAUCUGUAAACAUCUUCCUAAUCUCCAAUGGCUAUAUCUUGCUCGGAAUCAUCUCAGUGGUCAACUUCCUACAACUCUAUCCUUAUGUGGAGAGCUCCUG
This 10089-nucleotide long non-coding RNA is filed under the name Vitis vinifera (wine grape). RNAcentral's name for it is "long non-coding RNA (VVIN_LNC003206)". The record is from RNAcentral. Lineage: Eukaryota; Viridiplantae; Streptophyta; Magnoliopsida; Vitales; Vitaceae.